UGUGGAGUACACAAAACGCCCGGUACAUAUCGAUCAGUCCGACGACUGUCCGUCAUAGUUUCGUAUUCGUGAAAAAGUAAUGACGCCUGUGUUGACUCGACACUUUUAAGUUAUGUAUAUUCAAAGCAUAGCAGAACCGUGCGCCAGUCCGUCGGCAACUAGACGUGUGGGUGCGUCGCGACGUCGACGUCGUCCUUCGACUCAUACGGAAUUAUAUCGAAGUCCGAUUCCGGAAGGGAGUACCGCAAGGAUUCAAAAUGGACGAUCCAUCGCGCGAUAAUCCGCCUCGCCGGCUGCCAAUGCUAGAAAAUCGGCAGCUUCUCUAUAAUCUGGAUAAAAUCGCCAAUAAUAAGGAGGCCGUCGUUAUUGUUCGAAAACCACCCGAUCAUGGAUUCUAAUUCGGAGCAAUUCGAGUUUCGCCAUCAUUUGCGCAGCGACUAGACAGAUUUUUUUUUUCAUUCAACCCAACUCGUCGAUUCAAUUAUUUUCCCAAAAGUUUGGGGUAAUCAAAUAAGAAAUUUUCGAUAAUUGUUUCUCGAUUUUUUGUGAACUUCAUAAUUCCAUAGACAAAGCAGCGAGGUUAUCGCGGGCGAAAGAUCUACGUGCGAUUGAAAAAGUCAGCGAACGAAAAGCGGUGAAAAAAAGAAAAAAAAAAACAAUUUUCUCACUCGCUUGACAACCGUCAUAACGUGUCUACGACUAACUGUGCAGCUGGUGCACUGCAAGUGGCAAUUGGAAUUUCUGUGGACUAUUUUUUGUUUGACUAACGCCGUAAUAAAAGCGAUGUGUAAAUAGAAGUUAGUUCGAAUCGAUAUUACAUGUGCUAUCUACAUUUCUAUGGAACCUGCACGGUGAAAGUAACAAGUAGAAAUUGAUGAUUGUUAUAUCUACGUUUCAUUGAAUUUUCAGAGAAGUAUUUACGCCCGUAGUAACCGAGGGAUAGAGGCAAAGGAAAUUGAGAACAACGCUUCGUUAACGACUGUGAGAUUUACGGUGAGAUAACAUUCGUUGCAACAAUAGAAGCGAACAAUAUCCAUCAGUUUGUUACUUAGAGAUAAUAUACGUGUAUCUAUCCAAAUAGCUGUUAACACUUGUCGGGGAAUUGUCUAUGGGAGUAAACGUGUAAAUUCGAUGUUCUCACCCUCGAAACGUACGUGGAAUCAUAUUUGGCGACGAUAUGAUCGCGCGAAAAAAUGUCAUCCAAGAAAUUCCAGCGGGACGAAAAAAAAAUGUCUAUUCAAACGUCAUCAGAGGUGCCGAAACAUCACGGGAACAUAAU
RNAcentral lists this unclassified non-coding RNA (1279 nucleotides) under Athalia rosae (coleseed sawfly). RNAcentral describes it as "misc RNA ENSAEAG00005003980.1". Lineage: Eukaryota; Metazoa; Arthropoda; Insecta; Hymenoptera; Athaliidae. The record is from RNAcentral.